RNAcentral lists this unclassified non-coding RNA (538 nucleotides) under Geranium sessiliflorum var. arenarium. RNAcentral describes it as "partial contains external transcribed spacer and 18S ribosomal RNA". The stretch from base 439 to 538 matches the Rfam family "Eukaryotic small subunit ribosomal RNA", at positions 1 to 99 of the family's 1831-position model. The record is from RNAcentral. Lineage: Eukaryota; Viridiplantae; Streptophyta; Magnoliopsida; Geraniales; Geraniaceae.
AGUGGUAGGCUGGUUGUGAGUGUUGGCAGGCUACACGCUCGCGCGUCUAACAUGUUGCCCCACACCUUUUCAGUGUUGGCUCCGAAGUUGAUUUCUCCGUGGGCGAAUGUUGGGUUCCUGUGUUGCGUACCUAUCAAAGAGGGUAUCGAAGUCCCUAGUUGCCUUGGAUCCAAUGUGCGCACUUCUUGGGCGUGCGUUGGACGUGGAAGCCCAUCCCGUGCCCCGUUAAUUCUCUGCCCCGCUGUGGAGAUCAACUGGUGCAUGGGUUUGGGCUCGUGGUCUCGGACGCGGAAUGUGAUGUUGGCGUGGAGCUAUGCACUCCUAUAGCCAAGAAACGGGCACUCGUUGCUCUUCUGAACGACAUCCGUGCAUGCAUCGACACGCCCACCUACCCGGUCGGCGUGUUGUUGCGUACAUUGGCUUGUCCGUGAGGAAUGCUACCUGGUUGAUCCUGCCAGUAGUCAUAUGCUUGUCUCAAAGAUUAAGCCAUGCAUGUGUAAGUAUGAACAAAUUCAGACUGUGAAACUGCGAAUGGCUC